Molecule: long non-coding RNA, 346 nt
Organism: Esox lucius (northern pike)
Lineage: Eukaryota; Metazoa; Chordata; Actinopteri; Esociformes; Esocidae
Source: Ensembl
GGACAGAGCACAGGGAGACAGAGAGAUACAGAGAGGCAGAAAGAGGGAGAAAGGGAGGAGAACAUUAAAUACAGUCAUCAGUGUCCAGCAGCGGAAUAUUGAAACAGACAGACUCCAGAUUGUUAAGGGUUUGAGAAUGGAUCCAAACACCACUGAGGCCUUGACCAGUCCACUGCUGCUACUUCAUUUAUCCUUGUCAUGUGAUGAAACUGUCAAGGAGUUUCAUGGAUUCUGAGUGAGAAACAGACAGAAAGUGACAGAUCAAGGGAGGAAGGGGAGGGACAAAGGGUCUGAGAGAAAAAGAGAAUGAAAAAGAAAGCAGUUUUAUGUUAAAACUGAAGCGAGA